GACGAACGCUGGCGGCGUGCCUAAUACAUGCAAGUCGAACGAACCGCGACUAGGUGCUUGCACUUGGUCAAGGUGAGUGGCGAACGGGUGAGUAACACGUGGGUAACCUACCUCAUAGUGGGGGAUAACAGUCGGAAACGACUGCUAAUACCGCAUAGGACAUAGGAUCACAUGAUCCAGUGAGGAAAGGUGGCGCAAGCUGUCGCUAAGAGAUGGACCCGCGGUGCAUUAGCUAGUUGGUAGGGUAAAGGCCUACCAAGGCGAUGAUGCAUAGCCGACCUGAGAGGGUGAUCGGCCACAUUGGGACUGAGACACGGCCCAAACUCCUACGGGAGGCAGCAGUAGGGAAUCUUCCGCAAUGGACGCAAGUCUGACGGAGCAACGCCGCGUGAGUGAAGAAGGUCUUCGGAUCGUAAAGCUCUGUUGUUAGAGAAGAACAGCGCAUAGAGUAACUGUUAUGCGUGUGACGGUAUCUAACCAGAAAGCCACGGCUAACUACGUG
This 502-nucleotide ribosomal RNA is filed under the name uncultured bacterium. RNAcentral's name for it is "partial 16S ribosomal RNA". It matches the Rfam family "Bacterial small subunit ribosomal RNA", at positions 28 to 507 of the family's 1533-position model. The record is from RNAcentral.